RNAcentral lists this ribosomal RNA (460 nucleotides) under uncultured bacterium. Its description in RNAcentral is "partial 16S ribosomal RNA". It matches the Rfam family "Bacterial small subunit ribosomal RNA", at positions 338 to 795 of the family's 1533-position model. The record is from RNAcentral.
CCUACGGGAGACAGCAGUGAGGAAUAUUGGUCAAUGGACGCUAGUCUGAACCAGCCAUGUAGCGUGCAGGAUGACUGCUCUAUGAGUUGUAAACUUCUUUUAUACGGGGGUAAACUGCAGUACGUAUACUGGUUUGAAUGUAUCUUAUGAAUAAGGAUCGGCUAACUCCGUGCCAGCAGCCGCGGUAAUACGGAGGAUCCGAGCGUUAUCCGGAUUUAUUGGGUUUAAAGGGUGCGUAGGCGGGUUGUUAAGUUAGUGGUGAAAGGUUGCGGCUCAACCCCAAAAUUGCAUUUAAUACUGGUGGACUAGAGAACAGUUGCGGUAGGCGGAAUGUGUGGUGUAGCGGUGAAAUGCUUAGAGAUCACGCAGAACACCGAUUGCGAAGGCAGCUUACCAAACUAUAUCUGACGUUGAGGCACGAAAGUGUGGGUAGCAAACAGGAUUAGAUACCCGAGUAGUC